UUUCCCUGAAGAUGAGGAAAAACAAUAUAACAGUUGAAGGAACAGAUGAUUUAUACGAGAAGUGAAAGUCUGUUAAAAGGCUGUUCUUGAUUCCCCUACAAACUUUGUUUCCUUAGCGUAAAACGGGUGGUUUCAAAAUUUUUACUGAGCAUUACUUUUAUCCAAAAUUCUAAUUAAGUGGCUUUGGAAAGAGUUUGGCAUUUAAUCAUAUAGAAAAAAGAAGGAAAACACAUUAUCUCCAGACUUACAUCUCACUACUCCCUACGAUCACAUCACCAAGGUUCAACUAGAUGAACGGGAACUACAUGUAAUUAUCAUAAUCAUGUCAGAUCUACUUUCAAGUCAUGCAUAUCUUGGCUGAUUAAAACACAGCCCAACUGUGUCAGUCACCAAAAGACAAUAUUUAACAGUUGUUGAAGAAAGAAUAAAACUAAAUCUGUUAUCUGAUUCUAAUAAGCUAAACAAGUUGCCCAAAACCAGUAUUCCUGAUAGAUAGCCCUCAAAUAUCCCUCUUCAUCUCCGAGAUAAAACUAAAGGAAUCUAAUCACUUAGUUUGGCUCCAAAGUUUAGGGUGCUUCAAGCGAGAGGGUGGAUUUGACACAUACAAGAACUCCAUCUCUAUUUAUUCACAAGCUGCCAGAACACAUAUCUGUAAAAGAUUGGUCCCACCAUAAUGGAAAUAACUACAAUAAACAAAAGAAUAAAUCCAGGGAAUAUAGAGUGACAUUCAAUAUUAGAGAUGCUCAUUUGACAUUUUUCUAGUUGAACCUAAUCACUUUAAUAUGAUUGAGAAACCUAUGUAUCAUUCUUGCAUACUAACGUGUUCAGUCUUCUGGGUUUGCAAGUCUUCCUAGCAAAAAUAAAACAACCACAUUAAAAAGAAGAAUUAAAUUAUUGGAUAUGCAUGGGAGCAAUCUUCCCUAUUUAGGUGCAUUAUAGUCAUAACUUCAACAUAUUCAUUUAUGUCAAAGAAUGUUCAACCCUCAAUUUACAAUCCAAAUCUUCUCUUGGAAAGCCACCACAGCUUUUCCUGUUAAAUUAUAAUUGUGGCAAUUUGCUCUAAAUGAGAAUACAUAAAAGCUGUAUGAAGCCUGCUGACAAGAAUGGCCAUCCUCGAUGUAACCUAUUUAUAUUGCAAUGAAGAUGGCAAAAAGCACACUAUAGAUAUAAACGACAACAACAUAUCCAGCCUUUAUCCCACUAUGUGAAGUCGGCUACAUGAAUUCUAGGCUUCCAUGUAUUUCUGUCCACACUAUAGAUAUCAAUGUAGAAAUUUUAAAUUUCUUUAUUUUGAACAGUAGUAUGUAUUGAAACAAUUUCAUUACGAAAUCCUGUGCCUCGAGCUAUAGUUAAUGAGACAUUAGUGUGUUGACUCAUGUAUAUCAAGUUCAUCUACACAUGGACCCCCCACCCCCCCAAUGGUUAUUCAUGCAACCUAGUGCAAAUCAGAUGGACUGGACCCUCAUUUGGUUGUCGACUCAACUCUCACUCUCAUGCUCUCCUCCUCUCUGUAUAUUUCUUGCAGUAGGAAUAUACAGAAGAGUAUAUGCUUUGGUUUGGGUGUUUGUGCUUUGGUGUGAUUGUUGGUAUCCAGAUUGUGGCCUUGGCGGUUACUGUGUUGGGUUCUCUGUUCUCCCCAUUGUUGGUAGCGUUGGUUUCCCUUCUGACCGAGCUUAUUCCCUCACUAUUAAGCCUAUGAUCUCUAUAAACCUUAUAUCAACCAUAUCGUAACCUAACCCCAGUUAGGCCCAUCAUCGAGAUCUGGAUGCUCCUCACUAUGCGUAGCCUGUCUACCAUUUUUUUCCAAAUGUUCUGGUUUCUGGGUUUAGAUCCAUGGAAUUUUCCUUCUGUUCUGUCAUCUUCUUGACAUGUCAAAUCUUUGAAUGCCCUUAUUGGUUCACUGGUAUGACGAAUCCAGCCAACAAAGUGGCCGGAACCCUACCACUAGCCAUUGCAAUCCCCAAAAACCUUCAUAUAUCCCAAGAAAGCUCAAAUCUAAAGAAAAAUCCAAUACUUGAGUCAUCGUAGCAGCGUAGCCAUAUGUUUUGAGAGAUUUCAACCUUUUUUUGUUGCAAGAAACACAUCUCUGUUUGGUUACAAGGACAAACUACCCUAACCCUGGAUUAGACAACCCUAUCCUAGAAUAGGGCCUCAUUGGGGAUAGCCCCAUCCCUGUCAGGAACUGGCCCCAAUUUGGGCCAUAUAGCCCAUCCACAAGUGAAAUCAGCCCAAGCACAAUUGGAGCAAGCAAAGAUGCCUAAGCCCUGGCACAAGCCUAGUCUGAGCUUUCCAAGCCAACCAAUCCUUGGAGACAUGGGUCAGCCUAGUGGGUUUGGGCUUGACCUAAGCCCACUCGAGCUUUGACCAUGUGGUUAGUACAUCAAGCCCACACCAAAGCCUGAAUUGACUCAAACCCAGACCCAAUAUGUGUUGGCCUGACCCAUUGAACCAGUUCGACUCACUAAGUCAGCCUAAGUUGACUUAGAUUAGAUGAUCCAUCAACUGGGUAAACUCAGCUGACCAGGUUGACUGAGCUGACCCGUUCACCUGGCCGACCCAGUCCGUUGGUUGCUAACCAUUGACCGAUAGCAUCAGCAAGGUGAUGUCAUCUUGAUGACAUCACCUUGCUGCUGUCAACAAUGAUGACAGAAACUGUCCAAUGUGUUUAUUGAGAUACAUUCACCUCCUUUUCUACAUUGGUUUGUCUGUUUUUGUAACAGAAUCUGUCAACAAUAAUGUGUUUACAAGGACAAACUACCCUAACCCUGGAUUAGACAACCCUAUCCUAGAAUAGGGCCUCACUGGGGAUAGCCCCAUCCCUGUCAGGAACUGGCCCCAAUUUGGACCAUAUAGCCCAUCCGCAAGUGAAAUCAGUCCAAGCACAAUUGGAGCAAGCAAAGAUGCCCAAGCCUUGGCCUAAGCCCUGGCACAAGCCUAGUCUGAGCUUUCCAAGCCAACCAAUCCUUGGAGACAUGGGUCAGCCUAGUGGGUUUGGGCUUGACCUAAGCCCACUUGAGCUUUGACCAUAUGGCUAGUACAUCAAGCCCACACCAAAGCCUGAAUUGACUCAAACCCAGACCCAAUAUGUGUUGGCCCGACCCAUUGAACCAGUUGGACUCACUAAGUCAGCCUAAGUUGACUUAGAUGAUCCAUCAACUGGGUAAACUCAGCUGACCGGGUUGACUGAGUUGACCCAUUCACCUGGCUGACCCAACCCGUUGGUUGCUAACCAUUGACCAAUAACAUCAGCAAGGUGAUGUCAUCUUGAUGACAUCAUCAUGCUGCUGUCAACAAUGAUGACAGAAACUGUCCAGUGUGUUUAUUGAGAUAUAUUCAUCUCCUUUUCUACAUUUGUUUGUCUGUUUUUGUAACAUGUGGCAUACAGUUAAGAGUGAUAGAUUAGUAUAGUUACGAUUAAUUUAGUCAACAUAAUGCAUGUUAAGAGUACGGACUGAUACAGUUAUAUGUAGCCAGACACCCAGUGAGAGGCUCAGCUAUUCAGCUCUUCCAACUAGCAUUAUAAGUGGAUGGUUUAUGUUAUGAUGAGUUCUCUACAUGUACUCUUUUAUUGCAUGUUCGUGCGUUCUAUCUAUUAUUGUCCUGUAACUGCCAUGUCAUUAACUGUCAAAAACUUGGUUUAUAUUGCAUAUGCAAACUUAUUUUAUAACUCUAGUGAGACGGGUCUGUCACCUUGAUGAUGGUAUCUUGACAUAAUUUACUACAUUGAGAUAUAGACGUUGAGGCUUAUUUAUGCGUGCAAUGUGAUUAAUGCAUGACAUGGUGCUUUACUGUGGAUCCCUGUUUUUACAUUAUUAACUUGAGAUCGGCAUGCUUAUUUGGAAGUAGGAUUGGUAGGACACUGAUCUUAACGACAGAUUUGUAGUGGUGCAUCACCAUCACCCUAAGUUAGCACCUUAGCAGAGAGUUGCUAACCCAUGUGGGGGCUACACGCGUGGCUUAUGGUUAUACGUAGUCAAUUGAAGGACAUUGAUACUCAGGCUUGUGCCUACCAGAUAUGGUGCUGAGUAGUUGAAUGUUUGGCAUGAUCCUGCUCCUUCAUCCAGUAUUCUGUAUGCACGCUUCUGGGAUGUGCAUAUGUUAGGGCACAUACACUAAAAUAUUUUGUAUAUUGAUCCCACACAUUUUUACAUAUUGAUUAGUAUUUUCCUCUUUACUUUAAAAUGAUGGCACAUAUAUAUGAUGACAGGAAUUGUCCAUCCAAAGAUGAUGUAGUCCUUUGAUACCUUUAAAUGAUAUACAUACAUGAGAUAUAUUUAGACCUGAGCAUUGUGCACAAAGUUGUACAAGAGAUGAUGAUAGAAUAGAUUUAUCACCCUACCCA
This is a long non-coding RNA of Diospyros lotus (date-plum), 4342 nucleotides long. RefSeq lists it as uncharacterized. The record is from RefSeq and is a predicted model, not a curated record. The transcript has 2 exons. Lineage: Eukaryota; Viridiplantae; Streptophyta; Magnoliopsida; Ericales; Ebenaceae.